AACGAAAUAGUGAUGCAGAUACUUUUGUUUUCCGCAGAUGCUACGCUUCAUCAAUGUUUUGUGUUGUUAUCGUUUCGCCGCCGCCGUAGUUGCCGAUGCCGUUCGUUGGCUUAAAGGCAACAUAGUUGAUUUUGAUUUAAAAAUACAUUAAAUGUUUAUUUAAUAAUAAAUUAAAAAAAUAAUAAAAACAAGCAAAACAAAUCUUUACAAAAAAUAAACUUGUUUCGUGAUAAGAUAUACAAAAAGAUACUUAGAUACAAAUCAAACACAGGUGUCUCCUUAUAGUGAUAAAUUAAAAUCUAUCUAUGUUUUGCUUCAUCACCUCCAAUAUACAUACUUUCUGAUUUUCUGAUGAUAUAGUGAUUUUCAUGAAAUAUAAAAAUCAUCUGUUGAUUUAAUUUAAAGAAAGAAAAACGAAAAAAUUCCGAUACAAAAGUUUACAGAUACUUUAGCAGGUCGUCAAUUAACGGUGGCGAUCAAAAGUGAUAAAAGUAACCGGCCGUAAGUAAUAAAUGGCCAAUGGGUGCGGUAUUUAAUUAAUAUUUAUACAAAUUUGAAUUAAUCACCAUUCAUUGAUCCAUAACUCUAUACCAACUUUAUGUGUGUGUACUCAUAUGUGAUGUGCAGUAAUUAUUGAAUGCAAUGGACCAGGUCCGUCCGUCGUCAGUCCGUUUCUCGGCUUUAGUUUUCGGUUCCUUUUACGUACCGUACAUACGUACAUAUAUAAAAUAAUUGCUUCCUCCGUCAUCAUACAAAUACGCACGUUGCUGAAUAAACAAGGAAAUUGAUUAUUGUUUUUGUAAUGAAAUGAGAGUUAAACAGGAAACAAUAAUACAACAUACGAAGAAGAAAAACCCUCUACUUACCUGCAUAUAUAAAACAUAUGUACCUACGUUUACAUAGGCUUAUCUCCUUUGGGAAAGGAUUUCCGGACCCAACUAUAUAGCUAGCCAGUGCAAUCUAUACCCAACUUUUACUCCAAAGGCCAUUCGGAUCCUUUAGCUGUAUAUUUAUUAAUUCAAGCUCGGAAAAAAACAACAACACAAUAUCGGUGCUACUGUUUACUUAAUUAAACAAUGAAAAUGUCGAAAAAAACACUUCAACAACAAUUUGACAGAAACACCAAUAGCGAAAAAAUCAACAACAAGAACAACAACAUCGACGAAGUCAACAUCGGAGAAAAACAUCAAAAUGAAGUUAAACAAAGGAAAAACAAAUAAUAAGCGUGUGUAAUAUUUCUAUUGACGCGAAGAGCGACAACGACGCGACCCGCAACAACGGUAACGACAACCGAGACGACAAAGUGACAGAUACUUUUGCGUAUAUUGCACGAUUAAAAUUAGACAACGUUGAAAAAAAGUAUCUACAGGUUUUUCGUAUUUUGUUGUUUUAUAUUUGGUUCGUGAUUGUGCUCCGUGUAGCCGUUGUAUGUAUCUCAUAAUUAUUGUUAUUCUUGUGGUCCAAUUCGAAUCCAAAGUUCCUCUGAAUACGGCCUCGAGCGGUUUUAAUAAAAACAAAUUUCCUCCCCCAAAUACCGUUUUGUGAUACAGACAUAUAAGCUGAAACCAUAUUCUACGACUAGGAAUUAAGAGGCGGCAAAUAUUGUUUUUAAUUAAAGAAAAAAUGAAAAACGAACAAAAACUUUUUAUCGCGAUUAGUGCGAAGUUAUAAAUUCAGAAUUUGAAUUUUGAAAUGAAAAUUAAUCCUUUGGAUAUUUGUAUACCUACAUCUAGAAUACCCUACCCAAUCCCAUACCAAUACGUAACUGUGUGAUUUCUAAACUCUGUGAAUCCGGCCAGAACAAAGAAAGAUAACGAAAGGAUAUGUUAUAUCCUUUCUAUGUCCAUACCUACAGUACAUCUCACCCGGAAUGAGUGUUCAUGAACUUUUAGUGUGAUUGGAAUAUUUUUUGUGGAAUAAAAAUGGAAAAUUUAGAUUUUAAUGAGUUGGCGCGAUUAGUUGCCGAUGCCGAUGGCAGUGAAAUUAUGCGCUCAGAAUUUGUCCGAGCAGCUGUUAAUAAAAGUGCUGAAAUGCAAUGUUUGCUGCAGCAAGCCGAAGAGAACAAGGAUGCGAACAAUGUUCUUGGAUGUCCGAUAUCUUUUGAUUCAGUACUGUGUUGGCCAAGAACACCUCCAGGUAUUUUGGCCAUUUUGCCGUGUUUUGAAGAGUUCAAAGGCAUCCAGUAUGAUAGCACACAAAAUGCAACAAGGCUGUGCUUCAGUAAUGGAACGUGGGCCAACUACACCAACUAUGACAAAUGUCACCAUGCACCUCCGUCACCAAUUCCAGACUUCUCCCCAAGCAUAGAAUUGCCAUCACUUAUCUAUUGUUCGGGAUAUUUUUUAAGUCUAUUAGCUUUAACUUUAGCCUUAAUUGUUUUUCUUUACUUUAAAGACUUAAAAUGCCUUCGGAAUACAAUCCAUGCGAAUUUAUUUUUAACAUAUAUUUUAUCAGCCCUCUUAUGGAUUUUAACAUUAUUCCUUCAAGUUAUGACGGAUCAUCCCAGCCAGUCAGGAUGCAUAACCUUAGUUGUACUUUUUCACUACUUCAAUUUAACGAAUUUCUUUUGGAUGUUUGUCGAAGGACUCUACCUAUACACCCUUGUGGUGCAGACAUUUUCCAGCGAUAAUAUUUACUUUGCGAUGUACGCGUUCAUUGGAUGGGGAUGCCCAGCGGUUAUAGUGAUUGCGUGGUCAGUAGCUAAAAUCUAUUCCCCUCCACUUGAGACUGAAAGAUUUAAUGGGGUAAGUCCGUUGAUUGGUUCAUUGAAGCUGGAAAUCGAAUGCUCAUGGAUGCGAGAGUCCCACAUCGAUUGGAUAUUCCAGGGACCAGCAUCCCUUGUUAUUUUGCUGAAUUUGAUUUUUCUCUUUAGGAUCAUGUGGGUACUUAUCACAAAACUGCGGUCAGCUAAUACCCAAGAAACCCGUCAAUACCGUAAAGCUUCAAAGGCCUUACUCGUCCUUAUACCAUUGCUAGGAAUAACAUACUUGCUGGUUUUGUAUGGACCCGAACAUGGUCUGGAACGGCACGUUUUUGAAAUUCUAAGAGCUCUCCUCAUUAGCACACAGGGAUUUUCCGUUUCCUUUUUCUACUGUUUUCUAAAUUCUGAAGUGAGACUAGCGCUGCGACAUCGAUUCGAACGAUGGCAUGAUGCAAGGAAUAUAAGUUCGGAACAAUCAAUGCGAAAUAGAAGAUACAGAUUCUCGAAGGACUACUCCCUACGAUCAAGAACUGAAAGUUUACGGUGAGGGGAUCAUAUACAUAUAUUUUUUUUUUCAACAAAAAAAAAAUAUUUUUUAAUGAAAUAAACAAUUUGCUCGUGAUACCCUUCAUUAUAAUUAUGUUCUUACAUCAACAAGUCCUGUGCCCACAUCAAACAAUGAAUAAUAAAUUUUGCACGAGAUUUUAUUCCUAUAAAUAAAUCUUAAUGUUAAUUCCUUUUUUUUAAUAAAUCUUACUCUAUUUUAUAAUUAUGAGAAACUGGUCCAUAUUAUUGCUAAACAUGUAUUUAGCUAAUAAUUUACAUAUAUUUUUUUAAGAAGAUAAUGUUGCUUUUAUUUAUAUUUUUAGUAUUUUUUACUACCUAAAUAGGAAACAUAAGUAUUUUUGUAUUCUUAUUUUAAUAAUCUAAUUUAAUUAAAAAAUUCAUAUUUUAUUACUAAUGUAAAUAGUAAUUCCUUAAAAUUGAUGUAUUUUAAAUUAAAGAAACUAAAUUCAGUAAUUUUCUACUUUUUACAUAAAAUAUUAUAAAACUUACGCAUUUGUAUAGAUGUAAAAUUAUUUUUAAAUAUUUUUAUUAUAAUAUAGAUAUAUUUAAU
This is an RNA transcript of Eupeodes corollae, 3818 nucleotides long. It is a transcript of the gene named diuretic hormone receptor, with no coding region annotated. The record is from RefSeq and is a predicted model, not a curated record. Lineage: Eukaryota; Metazoa; Arthropoda; Insecta; Diptera; Syrphidae. The transcript has 13 exons.